AUAGCUCGCCGAGCUUUUCCUCGCUCCCACAGCUCCAAUAUCUGUGCUCCGGUGGUGGAGUUAAGAAACGUUAUCAGGCAAGCUCAGGAUGAUGAAAAAACACACGGGGUCAAUCACCGCCGGACCCCUUCGGCAAUAUUCGCUUCUCCAUAUCUGCAGUUUGGAUGCCUCGCUGGAAGACGCGGGCGUGGAGAGGGCAGAGACGUGGCAAAAGCUGACAUCUGUCACUAUGUGUGUUCUACCAUUGAGCAGCAGCAGGCAGCGUUAUUGUGCCUACCAGAGCCACUUGCCACCGGCCACCAUCUGCUGUGGGUAUAUACAGGAGAGGCCUCGUGGUGAUCCGGGGCUCUGGGCUUUGAUUGCUUUGAGUCAUCCACAAAAUGCACAUCCAAAUAAACAAAACUAUUUGCUC
Long non-coding RNA from Thalassophryne amazonica, 412 nucleotides. RefSeq lists it as uncharacterized. The record is from RefSeq and is a predicted model, not a curated record. The transcript is spliced from 2 exons. NCBI's taxonomy places the organism in Eukaryota, Metazoa, Chordata, Actinopteri, Batrachoidiformes, Batrachoididae.